Molecule: small nuclear RNA, 106 nt
Organism: Nycticebus coucang (slow loris)
Lineage: Eukaryota; Metazoa; Chordata; Mammalia; Primates; Lorisidae
Source: RefSeq, a predicted model, not a curated record
GUGUUGCUUCAGCAGCACAUACACCAAAAUUGGAACAAUUCAGAGAAGAUGAGCAUGGCCCCUGUUCAAGGAUGACACGCAAAUUUGUAAAGAGUUGCAUAUUUUU